Sciurus carolinensis (gray squirrel) is the source of this 1234-nucleotide long non-coding RNA. RefSeq lists it as uncharacterized. The transcript is spliced from 3 exons. The record is from RefSeq and is a predicted model, not a curated record. NCBI's taxonomy places the organism in Eukaryota, Metazoa, Chordata, Mammalia, Rodentia, Sciuridae.
GCCAGGGCUGUGGUGCGCCUGCACGUCACGGCUACUCAAACCCAGGCACGUCCCGAAAGCGGUAUUUUCUGCGUCUGGGAGGUUUUUGCGUCCUCAGUUCCCACCGCUGGGUCUGGCGGCGACCAACUCACGGACCCUUCGCAGUGGGAGAGCUGUCAUUUCAGCACCAGGAUUCAGAAUUGAUCUAGUCCGCAGCAGAGGGGCACAUCUCAGCUCCCAUUAGCUGAGGGUCUCCGCCUGGAACAAUAGUAGUUUUUCUCAGCAAGGCUGCAAUUAACAUCUUAUUUGUUCUGGCUCCCAGGCUUUGUCGGGACUGCGGUGCAGCGACCGAGUUUCCCUAGUAACAAGUUUGGGGAAUGGAUGGGAAGAAACACGGGAAAAGCAAGAGAAGAACCUGAUUCUCCAUGUAAGAGGAAAGGAAGAGAUAAAUUUCCACAUGCCCCUACCUUUUUAUUAUUUAUUUGUUUAGCCUCGUGAACAGUAGGUUGAUGAUGUAUUUGAUGAACUAACUUCAGAUACCUGCUGCAAAAAUGUCAUUGGACUCCUUACUAUUUCUCUACUUGUAGACUCACUUGGUGGUUUACAAAACAAGUGCUAAAAUAGUGCAGUGAUGUGGUGGGAGGAGACCAUAAAGGGUAAUUCAUUUCAAGUGUGGAGUCUUCCUAAGGGUGAGUUGCUGGAGCGACAGGUGAAGUUGAAUAAAGCAAUUUCCCAUCAUUUUCUCUCCUAAAUCUUCUGCAUUUUUUAUUCCUUUUUUUGUUCCUCUUCCCUGGGGUGAUUGUGUAGCCAAGAACAAGAUUUUUUUAAAAAGGUUAUAGUGAAAACAGGAAGGUGCCAGAUGAUCUUUUAUUCACCAGAGUUGUUUGAAAUAUUAAAAUUGGCUCUUUACUUCUUAAUACAUAUUAAUAGAAUGACCCUCUUCAAGGCUUUUUCUUCUAGGAUGAGUGUUCAAAGUAAAACCCUGGGAGGGAAACGUUAAUCAUUCCCCAGCUGGCUUUAAGGGUGUUUGCAGGAAGAAAUCACCAGUGAGGGGAAGCUUGGGUGGCAUUUUUGUUUUAUGUCAGUUUUGGUUCGUUACAACAUUUUUUAUUCAUUUAAACUAACGUGCAAAGAAAAUAAGGUUUAUACGUCCAGGGCAAAAUCCAAAACACUGUAAAACAAACACAUUUUCUUUAAAAACAACAUUCAGCAAUACAAAGAAGAAACACAUUUUAUUUAUUUCAACUUCCAGAGA